AUUGAACGCUGGCGGCAUGAUUUACACAUGCAAGUCGAACGGUAACAGGCCGCAAGGUGCUGACGAGUGGCGAACGGGUGAGUAAUGCAUCGGAACGUGCCCAGUCGUGGGGGAUAACUACGCGAAAGAGUAGCUAAUACCGCAUACGAUCUAUGGAUGAAAGCGGGGGACCGUAAGGCCUCUCGCGAUUGGAGCGGCCGGUGUCAGAUUAGGUAGUUGGAGGGGUAAAGGCUCACCAAGCCAACGAUCUGUAGCUGGUCUGAGAGGACGACCAGCCACACUGGGACUGAGACACGGCCCAGACUCCUACGGGAGGCAGCAGUGGGGAAUUUUGGACAAUGGGCGCAAGCCUGAUCCAGCAAUGCCGCGUGCAGGAAGAAGGCCUUCGGGUUGUAAACUGCUUUUGUACGGAACGAAACGGCUCUGGUUAAUACCCGGGGCUAAUGACGGUACCGAAAGAAUAAGCACCGGCUAACUACGUG
Molecule: ribosomal RNA, 482 nt
Filed under: uncultured bacterium
Lineage: Bacteria
Description: partial 16S ribosomal RNA
Rfam family: Bacterial small subunit ribosomal RNA
Source: RNAcentral